This 250-nucleotide ribosomal RNA is filed under the name uncultured bacterium. RNAcentral's name for it is "partial 16S ribosomal RNA". It matches the Rfam family "Bacterial small subunit ribosomal RNA", at positions 57 to 305 of the family's 1533-position model. The record is from RNAcentral.
GCAAGUCGAGGGGUAACAGAGGUAGCUUGCAACUUGCUGACGACCGGCGCCCGGGUGCGUAACGCGUAAAGAAUCUACCUUUUGCUAGGGAUAGCCUUUGGAAACGAAGAUUAAUACCUCAUAGUAUGUAAAGCACUCCUGGGUUUAACAUUAAAGGUUACGGCAAAAGAUGACUAUGCGUCCUAUUAGCUAGAUGGUAAGGUAACGGCUUACCAUGGCACCGAUAGGUAGGGGCCCUGAGAGGGGGAUC